GACGAACGCUGGCGGCGUGCUUAACACAUGCAAGUCGAACGGAAAGGCCCUGCUUUUGUGGGGUGCUCGAGUGGCGAACGGGUGGGUAACACGUGAGUAACCUGCCCUUGACUUUGGGAUAACUUCAGGAAACUGGGGCUAAUACCGGAUAGGAGCUCCUGCUGCAUGGUGGGGGUUGGAAAGUUUCGGCGGUUUGGGAUGGACUCGCGGCUUAUCAGCUUGUUGGUGGGGUAGUGGCUUACCAAGGCUUUGACGGGUAGCCGGCCUGAGAGGGUGACCGGCCACAUUGGGACUGAGAUACGGCCCAGACUCCUACGGGAGGCAGCAGUGGGGAAUAUUGCACAAUGGGCGGAAGCCUGAUGCAGCAACGCCGCGUGCGGGAUGACGGCCUUCGGGUUGUAAACCGCUUUCGCCUGUGACGAAGCGUGAGUGACGGUAAUGGGUAAAGAAGCACCGGCUAACUACGUG
This 468-nucleotide ribosomal RNA is filed under the name uncultured bacterium. RNAcentral's name for it is "partial 16S ribosomal RNA". It matches the Rfam family "Bacterial small subunit ribosomal RNA", at positions 28 to 507 of the family's 1533-position model. The record is from RNAcentral.